UCUAUACAACCUAAUAAAAGCCUUAAUUAGGGGACACAUGUCCACCUACUAGGGCCUCCAUAGCUCAUUUUCCCGCCAAAAUGGACAUCUCCUCAUAUUCCUUGAGAUGACCCGACACGGGAUCCAUAUUAGCAAUUCGGGUCCUUUUUUUUCGUUCCAUAUAUAAACAAAGAACCCGUCCUUUUGUUUCCCAUUUUCAUCUUCUCCAAUACGGCAACUCCGAUUAGGGUUUCAUCUUCUUCUAUACGCUUCCAACUCACAACAGUCUACUUUCUCCCCAAAUCUUCUAGGUAAGAUUCCAAAUCUGUAAUCGUCGACUGGAAAUCUUCAACAACAAGGUUAGAUUACGAUUUCUUUCUGUUAAUCAUGUUUAUUUCUCUAUUCUUCAUCUUCUCACAUACGGUUUGUUCGAUUAGGGUUUUUUUUUGUUCUUUCUCUUCCUCAUCGCAAUCGAUCCUAAAUCUCUUUAGAAACAACUGGAAGCAGCCAAGCAACUAGGUUAAUUUUUCUCGAUCUAUGAUGUUUUAAACAUUGUUUCAUGAUUCGUGGUUUAUCUUUCUCCUUCAACGGCAAUGGAUUGGAAAUCAGGGUUCUUCGAUCUCGGGUUUAGGGUUUCGUGUUAACCAGGUAACUUCCUGGUCUGACUCAUUUGUGUUUCAUCCAGAUCCAACAGGACUCAAGGCGCUUAAUCUAUCUGAAACAACGAUUGAGGGAGAAAGCUCUUGAAAAGGCACGUUUUAAACAAUUUGACAAAUAAUCCGGCGUGUGUUAGUUUCGUACCGCGACUUUGAAGACAUCUUUAUGUUGAUUAUUUUAUCAGGUCUUUGAGGGAUGAGGUUCGGAUAUUCGAAGAACUUCCCUCUAGGCUUAAAAGACGCGUUGAGCUUGGGAAAUUUCGUUCUUUAGCACUGAUAUUGGUCUACUAUUUCUUAAUAUUGUAACCAGAUUCUUCUUCUUAUGCGGAAGUGUGAAGUUGUACGUUUAAACAGAACCGACACCCAUCUUGCCAACAAUGGGUUCCCUUUAGAGAUUCAAAAACUGAGGUAUGCGUAUUCAUGGUGGAAAGAGAAAAAUUGAUUUUGAUCUAAAGAGGAAACAAGGGUUGUGUCUUAUGACACCAAAAGAAAAGAGAAAUCAAAGGAUACUCAACAAAGUACUCUACAAGGCAAAGAUCUAUCACAUACAGAGAGCCUAAUUAACACUUUGGAAAUUGCUUCAAAAAAUCCCUCAAGAGUAUAUGGAGCUGUGGAAGCCGGUUUGCUGGACAUCUCACCCUCAAAGUUAAGCAGUUAGAUGUGAAGCGUGAGACCAAAAACGAAGGUUUUUUUUAUCUCCAUUUAAAUCACAUGGCCUUAAUAAGGUGAUGAUAGAAUCUGUUUUUUCAUAUGAAUUUAUUUUGGCUAUAAGUAUGGGUUAGGAAAAUUUAGGUGACGGCAUGCUUUUCUUUUUUUAUAUUCAUGAAACAAAU
This 1468-nucleotide long non-coding RNA is filed under the name Helianthus annuus (common sunflower). Its description in RNAcentral is "hypothetical non coding rna". The record is from RNAcentral. Lineage: Eukaryota; Viridiplantae; Streptophyta; Magnoliopsida; Asterales; Asteraceae.